This 211-nucleotide long non-coding RNA is filed under the name Gallus gallus (chicken). The record is from RNAcentral. Lineage: Eukaryota; Metazoa; Chordata; Aves; Galliformes; Phasianidae.
GUCCCCCCCCCCUCCCAGUGCCCCUUAAAGGGACCGCUCACCCUCCAGCGCGGCGUUGGCGCCCUGCAGGUGCCCGGCCACCAGCUGAUCAUCGCGCAGCGCGGGCGCGCGGCACGGCACCGAUCCGGCAGCCUCUGCGUGGAGGAGGAGGAGGGCGAUGAGAAGCGCUGCUUCAUCGAGGAGAUCCCCGAUGAGACCAUGGUUAUAGGUG